AUCGCUUCUCGGCCUUUUGGCUAAGAUCAAGUGUAGUAUCUGUUCUUAUCAGUUUAAUAUCUGAUAUGUCCUCUAUAUGGGGACAACAUAUUAAACGGAUUUUUAGCACCGGGGAGCUGAAAAAGGGGCUUGCUCCGUUCACUCCACGCAUCGACCCGGUACUGCAGUGCCGCCGGGAACGGUGCACCCUCC
This is a small nuclear RNA of Dicentrarchus labrax (European seabass), 192 nucleotides long. Its record names the gene U2. It matches the Rfam family "U2 spliceosomal RNA". From Rfam's summary of the family: U2 is a small nuclear RNA (snRNA) component of the spliceosome (involved in pre-mRNA splicing). Complementary binding between U2 snRNA (in an area lying towards the 5' end but 3' to hairpin I) and the branchpoint sequence (BPS) of the intron results the bulging out of an unpaired adenosine, on the BPS, which initiates a nucleophilic attack at the intronic 5' splice site, thus starting the first of two transesterification reactions that mediate splicing. Lineage: Eukaryota; Metazoa; Chordata; Actinopteri; Moronidae. The record is from Ensembl.